This 59-nucleotide transfer RNA is filed under the name Caenorhabditis elegans. It matches the Rfam family "tRNA", at positions 7 to 64 of the family's 71-position model. From Rfam's summary of the family: Transfer RNA (tRNA) molecules are approximately 80 nucleotides in length. Their secondary structure includes four short double-helical elements and three loops (D, anti-codon, and T loops). Lineage: Eukaryota; Metazoa; Nematoda; Chromadorea; Rhabditida; Rhabditidae. The record is from Rfam by way of RNAcentral.
GUGGUGUAAUGGUCGGCAUGGAUGCCUUCCAAGCAUUCGACGGGGGUUCGAUUCCCCCC